UACGGGGGGAGCAAGCGUUGUUCGGAUUUACUGGGCGUAAAGGGCGCGUAGGCGGUCGUGACAAGUCACUUGUGAAAUCUCCGGGCUUAACUCGGAACGGUCAAGUGAUACUGUCGGACUAGAGUACAGAAGGGGCAACUGGAAUUCUCGGUGUAGCGGUGAAAUGCGUAGAUAUCAGGAGGAACACCUGUGGUGUAGACAGCUUACUGGACCAUUUCUGACGCUGAGACACGAAAGCGUGGGUAGCAAACAGG
This 254-nucleotide ribosomal RNA is filed under the name uncultured bacterium. RNAcentral describes it as "partial 16S ribosomal RNA". It matches the Rfam family "Bacterial small subunit ribosomal RNA", at positions 524 to 776 of the family's 1533-position model. The record is from RNAcentral.